Non-coding RNA from Schizosaccharomyces pombe (fission yeast), 572 nucleotides. The record is from the annotation of a GenBank genome assembly. NCBI's taxonomy places the organism in Eukaryota, Fungi, Ascomycota, Schizosaccharomycetes, Schizosaccharomycetales, Schizosaccharomycetaceae.
AGACGGAGGAAUAUCAACUGCGGGUCCCUCAGAACUUGGAGGAAGUGGAGGAGCAGGUGCACUUGGAGGUGACGCAGAUGUCGUUGAGGUUAUCCCUUCUGAAUGAUCAUAUGAAGUCCUGCUGGACGUUGCUUUUGUACUUUGUAAUGAUUCGGCGAUCCGUCUGGCGGCAGCAGCUGCUGCCUCAGCUCCAUUGUUUGUCGGUUCUUCGAUUGGCGGAUGCGCUGGGGCAAAACCUGAUGAAGAAGAUUUCCAUCUUGAAUCUCUAGCAGGACUUCGACUUCGAGAACGCUCUUGAAGGUGUUCUUCUUUGCGAUAAUAUCUUGAUUCUCGGGGUGCCUCAUUGCCCGACCGCUGUGAAUCUCUUCUACUAUACGAAUCCUCCGUAAACCUAGAUCGUCUAUCCCGAGAAUAAUUAUCUUCCCGUUGGGAAUUUUGUCUUGAAUCAGACAUGAAACUUAACUUUAGCUAUAUACGCAAACUGUGUGGACAUAGUAGAAGUAGUGCUUAUACGAAAAAGUCAAAGAAGGAGGUUGAACGAAGCACGUUAUAUAAUAAUUUUUUAAGACAAA